This 273-nucleotide ribosomal RNA is filed under the name uncultured bacterium. RNAcentral's name for it is "partial 16S ribosomal RNA". It matches the Rfam family "Bacterial small subunit ribosomal RNA", at positions 85 to 354 of the family's 1533-position model. The record is from RNAcentral.
CCGCCGGCGACCGGCGCACGGGUGAGUAACACGUAUGCAACCUGGCCGUGACAGAUGGAUAACCGGGAGAAAUCCCGCCUAAUACAACAUAAUGCCGGGAGGGGACAUCCCCUGCCGGCCAAAGGGGGCGACCCCGGUCACGGAUGGGCAUGCGGCGCAUUAGGUAGUUGGUGGGGCAACGGCCCACCAAGCCGACGAUGCGUAGGGGUUCUGAGAGGAAGGUCCCCCACACUGGUACUGAGACACGGACCAGACUCCUACGGAAGGCAGCAG